RNAcentral lists this ribosomal RNA (466 nucleotides) under uncultured bacterium. RNAcentral's name for it is "partial 16S ribosomal RNA". It matches the Rfam family "Bacterial small subunit ribosomal RNA", at positions 28 to 507 of the family's 1533-position model. The record is from RNAcentral.
GACGAACGCUGGCGGUGUGCUUAACACAUGCAAGUCGAACGGUAAGGCCCUUUCGGGGGUACACGAGUGGCGAACGGGUGAGUAACACGUGAGUAACCUGCCCUCAUCUCUGGGAUAACAGUCGGAAACGGUUGCUAAUACUGGAUAUGAGCUUGCAAGGCAUCUUGGGGGUUGGAAAGAUUUUUUUGGUUGGGGAUGGACUCGCGGCCUAUCAGCUUGUUGGUGAGGUAGUGGCUCACCAAGGCUUCGACGGGUAGCCGGCCUGAGAGGGGGACCGGCCACAUUGGGACUGAGAUACGGCCCAAACUCCUACGGGAGGCAGCAGUGGGGAAUAUUGCACAAUGGACGGAAGUCUGAUGCAGCAACGCCGCGUGCGGGAUGACGGCCUUCGGGUUGGAAACCGCUUUCAAUUGUGACGAAGCUUUUUGUGACGGUAGCAGUAGAAGAAGCACCGGCUAACUACGUG